This 1515-nucleotide long non-coding RNA is filed under the name Brassica rapa (field mustard). RNAcentral's name for it is "long non-coding RNA (BRAP_LNC005642)". The record is from RNAcentral. Lineage: Eukaryota; Viridiplantae; Streptophyta; Magnoliopsida; Brassicales; Brassicaceae.
AUUUAGUAUUUUAUGAAUCUUAAGAUAUUAUAUUAUAUAUUUAUGAUGUAUUUUUACACAAAGAUAUUUAUUAUACAUAAAAUGUACAAAAAUAAUAAUAUUUAUAAUAUUUCUUAUCUUUCUCACUUUUACUUUAGGGUGGACCACACACUAAUGCCCCAAAGAGUUUUCGAACAAAGAAUUUACCUAUGCAUAAAGUGACGUUUAUUUGUCUCCACCUCAUAAACACUACAACAAUUAAUAAUAAUUCUUCCUAAUUAUAAAUCUAAAUCAAUUCAAAGUUAGUUAAAUAGAUCAAUGACAGUUGUUAUUACGUUUGCUUAGAGCGCAGAAUUGUUAUGGUGUUUAUUAAACGCAAAUGAUGAUUUUCUAAAUACCCUAGUAUAAAUAUUAUGGAUGCCAAGGAAAAAGAAACAGGUUUUUCGAUCUUAAAUCAGGAAAUUUUCAGGUGAACUAAAACAACCUUCGAUUUUACCAAAAAAAAAAACAACCUUCGAUGAUAGCAAAAAAAUGAAACUAAAAAAAAAUGAAAUAUUAAAAGGGCUUAUUGGCGACAUAGCCAUAUUUGAGAGACAAAUUAAAGAACUAACAUUGAUUUUGACAUAAUUUAAUGUCAGACUUUUUGGUCUCAAUCAACCCGGUUCUAUCCCUUCACGUAACAGGUUACCAGUUCCACUUCCAAAUAUAAGAGACAUGGUUUUUUUAGGGAUACUUAAUUAUACGAAACAUAUAUGACAGCUGUAUUUAACACACGAUGGAAAAAGAAAUAUUCUAUUUCAUCUCACAAACAUAGUAAAGUACUAUAAACACAAUUAGAAUCACAACCAACCUCCAACCCCAACCAAUCUCUAACCCUGAAAUACUAGACAUUACACCAAUCCACCUCGAAACCAUAAAUACUAACCCCUAAAUCCAAAUUCAUAAACCCAAACCCAAUGUAAAAUAUCUUUAAUAAAUUAAAGUACAAAAUAGUAUAUAAUUAACUAUUCUAUUUCAUCUCCAGUGUAGUAUAGUACUAAAAUCACUAGAAUCACAACCAAUCUUCAACAUUAAAAUACUAAAUCCUAAACCAACCCACCUCAAAUCCAUAAAUACUAAACCCAAAACCCGAAUUCAUAAAUCCAAACCCAAAUGUAAAAUAUAUUUAAUAAAUUAAAAUACGAAAAUAGAAUAAAUUUAACUGUUAUAUUCCAUCUCACCAACAUAGUAUAGUACUAUAACCACUAGAAUCACAACCAACCUCCAUCCAACACUGAAAUACUAAACCUUAAAUCAAUCCACCUCAAAGCCAUUAAUACUAAACCCUAAACCUGAAUUCAUAAACCCAAACUUAAAUGUAAAAUAUCUUUAAUAAAUUAAAAUACAAAAAUAGUAUAAAUUUAAUUGUUCUAUUUCAUUUCACGAACAUAGUAUAGUACUAUAACCACAAUCAGAAUCACAACCAACCUCCGACUCUGAAAUACUAGAUCCUGAACAAACCCACCUCGAACCCCUAAAUACUAAGCCCUAAACCCG